UACGUAGGGUGCGAGCGUUAAUCGGAAUUACUGGGCGUAAAGUGUGCGCAGGCGGCCGCGCAAGUCGAGUGUGAAAGCCCCGGGCUUAACUUGGGAAUUGCGCUCGAAACUACGUGGCUGGAGUGUGGCAGAGGAAGGUGGAAUUCCAGGUGUAGCGGUGAAAUGCGUAGAGAUCUGGAGGAACACCAGUGGCGAAGGCGACUUCCUGGCCUGUUCUUGACGCUGAGGCGCGAAAGCUAGGGGAGCAAACGGG
RNAcentral lists this ribosomal RNA (253 nucleotides) under uncultured bacterium. RNAcentral's name for it is "partial 16S ribosomal RNA". It matches the Rfam family "Bacterial small subunit ribosomal RNA", at positions 524 to 776 of the family's 1533-position model. The record is from RNAcentral.